CAAAAGUACCUGCAAUGAAAAUCAUACAUUAAAAUGUUCUAAAGCUGCAAUGCACCAAGAGAAGAGGAAGAAAGUGAUGAAUACUCAGUGAUUCGCUUUGAAGUCAUAUCCGCAUAAGUCCCUAGUGUUCCGCUGGAGAAAGAUCGCCUGGAGAGCCCACAGAGGCACUGGACAAAAGAUGAAGCAAAGAAGGUGUUGCUGAGAGGCCUCUGGUCAAACCAUGCCUGACUGCAAGUGGAUCCAGAGCCAGAAAGAGAAAAAUAUGAGCAGUCACAGA
Long non-coding RNA from Numida meleagris (helmeted guineafowl), 277 nucleotides. RefSeq lists it as uncharacterized. The transcript is spliced from 3 exons. NCBI's taxonomy places the organism in Eukaryota, Metazoa, Chordata, Aves, Galliformes, Numididae. The record is from RefSeq and is a predicted model, not a curated record.